GAUGAACGCUGGCGGCGUGCUUAACACAUGCAAGUCGAACGAUGAAGCCCAGCUUGCUGGGUGGAUUAGUGUCGAACGGGUGAGUAACACGUGAGUAACCUGCCCUUAACUCUGGGAUAAGCCUGGGAAACUGGGUCUAAUACCGGAUAGGAGCGUCCACCGCACGGUGGGUGUUGGAAAGAUUUAUCGGUUUUGGAUGGACUCGCGGCCUAUCAGCUUGUUGGUGAGGUAAUGGCUCACCAAGGCGACGACGGGUAGCCGGCCUGAGAGGGUGACCGGCCACACUGGGACUGAGACACGGCCCAGACUCCUACGGGAGGCAGCAGUGGGGAAUAUUGCACAAUGGGCGCAAGCCUGAUGCAGCGACGCCGCGUGAGGGAUGACGGCCUUCGGGUUGUAAACCUCUUUCAGUAGGGAAGAAGCGAAAGUGACGGUACCUGCAGAAGAAGCACCGGCUAACUACGUG
This 466-nucleotide ribosomal RNA is filed under the name uncultured bacterium. RNAcentral describes it as "partial 16S ribosomal RNA". It matches the Rfam family "Bacterial small subunit ribosomal RNA", at positions 28 to 507 of the family's 1533-position model. The record is from RNAcentral.